GCCAGCCCGCUCAGCAACUUAAGAAUUGACGGGGCCCGCACAAGCGGUGGAGUAUGUGGUUUAAUUCGAUGCAACGCGAAGAACCUUACCUGGUCUUGACAUCCCGGAGACCCUUAGGAAACUAGGGGGUGCUUCCAUCUGGAAGAAUCUGGAGACAGGUGCUGCAUGGCUGUCGUCAGCUCGUGUCGUGAGAUGUUGGGUUAAGUCCCGCAACGAGCGCAACCCUUGCCUUUAGUUGCCAGCAGUUCGGCUGGGCACUCUAAAGGGACUGCCGGUGUUAAACCGGAGGAAGGUGGGGAUGACGUCAAGUCCUCAUGGCCUUUAUGACCAGGGCUACACACGUACUACAAUGGCCGAUACAAAGGGCAGCGACACUGCGAGGUGAAGCCAAUCCCGUAAAAUCGGUCUCAGUCCGGAUUGGAGUCUGCAACUCGACUCCAUGAAGUUGGAAUCGCUAGUAAUCGUGGAUCAGCAUGCCACGGUGAAUACGUUCCCGGGCCUU
RNAcentral lists this ribosomal RNA (502 nucleotides) under uncultured Desulfobulbus sp. Its description in RNAcentral is "bacterial SSU rRNA". It matches the Rfam family "Bacterial small subunit ribosomal RNA", at positions 905 to 1382 of the family's 1533-position model. The record is from RNAcentral. Lineage: Bacteria; Pseudomonadati; Thermodesulfobacteriota; Desulfobulbia; Desulfobulbales; Desulfobulbaceae.